Molecule: ribosomal RNA, 465 nt
Filed under: uncultured Klebsiella sp.
Lineage: Bacteria; Pseudomonadati; Pseudomonadota; Gammaproteobacteria; Enterobacterales; Enterobacteriaceae
Description: bacterial SSU rRNA
Rfam family: Bacterial small subunit ribosomal RNA
Source: RNAcentral
CCUACGGGUGGCAGCAGUGGGGAAUAUUGCACAAUGGGCGCAAGCCUGAUGCAGCCAUGCCGCGUGUGUGAAGAAGGCCUUCGGGUUGUAAAGCACUUUCAGCGGGGAGGAAGGCGGUGAGGUUAAUAACCUCAUCGAUUGACGUUACCCGCAGAAGAAACACCGGCUAACUCCGUGCCAGCAGCCGCGGUAAUACGGAGGGUGCAAGCGUUAAUCGGAAUUACUGGGCGUAAAGCGCACGCAGGCGGUCUGUCAAGUCGGAUGUGAAAUCCCCGGGCUCAACCUGGGAACUGCAUUCGAAACUGGCAGGCUAGAGUCUUGUAGAGGGGGGUAGAAUUCCAGGUGUAGCGGUGAAAUGCGUAGAGAUCUGGAGGAAUACCGGUGGCGAAGGCGGCCCCCUGGACAAAGACUGACGCUCAGGUGCGAAAGCGUGGGGAGCAAACAGGAUUAGAUACCCUAGUAGUC